Small nuclear RNA from Nomascus leucogenys (northern white-cheeked gibbon), 107 nucleotides. NCBI's taxonomy places the organism in Eukaryota, Metazoa, Chordata, Mammalia, Primates, Hylobatidae. The record is from RefSeq and is a predicted model, not a curated record.
GUGUUCGCUUUGGCAGCACAUGCACUAAAAUUGGAACAACACAGAGAAGAUUAGCAUUGUCCCUGUGCAAGGAUGACAUGCAAAUUCAUGAAGUGUUCUAUUUAAAA